UAAAGGAAUUGGCGGGGGAGCACCACAAGGGGUGAAGCCUGCGGUUCAAUUGGAGUCAACGCCAGAAAUCUUACCCGGAGAGACAGCAGAAUGAAGGUCAAGCUGAAGACUUUACCAGACAAGCUGAGAGGUGGUGCAUGGCCGUCGCCAGCUCGUGCCGUGAGAUGUCCUGUUAAGUCAGGUAACGAGCGAGAUCCCUGCCUCUAGUUGCCACCAUUACUCUCAGGAGUAGUGGGGCGAAUUAGCGGGACCGCCGCAGUUAAUGCGGAGGAAGGAAGGGGCCACGGUAGGUCCGUAUGCCCCGAAUCCCCUGGGCAACACGCGGGCUACAAUGGCUAAGACAAUGGGUUCUGACAUUGAAAGGUGGAGGUAAUCCCCUAAACUUGGUCGUAGUUCGGAUUGAGGGCUGUAACUCGCCCUCAUGAAGCUGGAAUGCGUAGUAAUCGUGUGUCAUAAUCGCACGGUGAAUAUGUCCCUGCUCCUUGCACACACCGCCA
RNAcentral lists this ribosomal RNA (497 nucleotides) under uncultured archaeon. RNAcentral's name for it is "bacterial SSU rRNA". It matches the Rfam family "Archaeal small subunit ribosomal RNA", at positions 857 to 1351 of the family's 1478-position model. The record is from RNAcentral.